AACACUGGUGUACUUCAGUCAGUUUGCUAGAAGUCAGUUUGAUUGCUUUGCGACUAUCGUUUCUUUUGUGAUUUUCUAUGCGUUUCAUGGUUUUAUUCUACCAACUUUGGCUUGAUUACGGACUCCGAUUAGAUUGCGUACUUGGUAGACUCGGCUGUGUGUAAAGGACUGGAUUUUCCUGGCAUUUUUGGAUAUUGCUCUGUCUGUGAUCGAAUUUAGUUGUAUUAUAAUUACAACAAUGGAUGCAGAAUAUAGUAUAUUGUAUAAAUUGUGGAUCUGCUGGAGGUCCUUUGGUAUUAGAAAACGAAGAUAUACUUCGUUGCAUACAACAAUGGACUGUUCCCCGUAUGGUUGAAGCUCAUGACCUUAUAUGUACGACGUGUUGGUCUGAAGCAGUCGAGCAUAAUAAGAUGCAAUGCACUGUUGGACGCAAUUGUGUACUUUGUAAGAAGCUCCUACCAUCAGGCAUUACUGUUGCAAUAGUAUCGUUGGGCGUAGAACAGUGGGCUGUUGUGCCCACAUAAUGACUAUAAUUUGGUAUUUAAGCUGGGCGAGAUACCAAAAUUCAAUUGAACCCCCUGCUCAGUUCUUAGAUAAAUAUAUUAUUGAGAAAUAUUGAUGAUUAAAAACCUUUAAUUGAAUAUAAA
Helicoverpa armigera (cotton bollworm) is the source of this 647-nucleotide long non-coding RNA. RefSeq lists it as uncharacterized. NCBI's taxonomy places the organism in Eukaryota, Metazoa, Arthropoda, Insecta, Lepidoptera, Noctuidae. The record is from RefSeq and is a predicted model, not a curated record. The transcript has 2 exons.